GAUGAACGCUAGCUACAGGCUUAACACAUGCAAGUCGAGGGGCAGCAUGGUCUUAGCUUGCUAAGGCCGAUGGCGACCGGCGCACGGGUGAGUAACACGUAUCCAACCUGCCGUCUACUCUUGGACAGCCUUCUGAAAGGAAGAGUAAUACAAGAUGGCAUCAUGAGUUCACAUGUUCACAUGAUUAAAGGUAUUCCGGUAGACGAUGGGGAUGCGUUCCAUUAGAUAGUAGGCGGGGUAACGGCCCACCUAGUCUUCGAUGGAUAGGGGUUCUGAGAGGAACGUCCCCCACGUUGGAACUGAGACACGGUCCAAGCUACUACGGGAGGCAGCAGUCGGGAAGAAUGGGCGAGGGGCGAGAGACUGAAGCAGCCAAGUAGCGUGAAGGAUGACUGGUCUAUGGAUAGUAACCUUCUGUUGUAAAGGAAUAAAGCCGGGUACGUAUCCCCGUGUGCAUGUACUUUAUGAAUAAGGACCGGCUAACUACGUG
RNAcentral lists this ribosomal RNA (490 nucleotides) under uncultured bacterium. Its description in RNAcentral is "partial 16S ribosomal RNA". It matches the Rfam family "Bacterial small subunit ribosomal RNA", at positions 28 to 507 of the family's 1533-position model. The record is from RNAcentral.